RNAcentral lists this ribosomal RNA (253 nucleotides) under uncultured bacterium. RNAcentral's name for it is "partial 16S ribosomal RNA". It matches the Rfam family "Bacterial small subunit ribosomal RNA", at positions 524 to 776 of the family's 1533-position model. The record is from RNAcentral.
UACGGAGGGGGCUAGCGUUGUUCGGAAUUACUGGGCGGAAAGCGCACGUAGGCGGCUUUGUAAGUUAGAGGUGAAAGCCCGGGGCUCAACUCCGGAAUUGCCUUUAAGACUGCAUCGCUAGAAUUGUGGAGAGGUAAGUGGAAUUCCGAGUGUAGAGGUGAAAUUCGUAGAUAUUCGGAAGAACACCAGUGGCGAAGGCGACUUACUGGACACAUAUUGACGCUGAGGUGCGAAAGCGUGGGGAGCAAACAGG